Molecule: small nuclear RNA, 107 nt
Organism: Gracilinanus agilis (Agile Gracile Mouse Opossum)
Lineage: Eukaryota; Metazoa; Chordata; Mammalia; Didelphimorphia; Didelphidae
Source: RefSeq, a predicted model, not a curated record
GUGUUUGCUUUAGCAGCACAUUUACUAAAAUUGGAAUGAUACAAGGAAGAUGAGCAUGGCUCCUGUGCAAGGAUGGCAUGCAAAUGAGGUCAAUGUUCCAUAUAAAA